RNAcentral lists this unclassified non-coding RNA (1480 nucleotides) under Hevea brasiliensis (rubber tree). The record is from RNAcentral. Lineage: Eukaryota; Viridiplantae; Streptophyta; Magnoliopsida; Malpighiales; Euphorbiaceae.
GGUCCUUUUGUAAGCUGAUACAAUAUGCUCAACUGACAGUUUCCGGAAGCUAGGAUCUAAAGCAACCACACGGAAUCCUAAGCCAAAUCCAAUACCCCAACACCUCCUUCUCACAUGAUCCCUACAUGCUCUUUCAAGAUCUUGCAAAAAGCUCUGAGCCCAAUAUGCCACAUCAUGAGUGCACACAUAUCUAUAGUGCUUCUCAUGCCGCAUCUGCUUCUCUGCCUCAGAGACAAUUAAAGCAGAAUCCAUAGCUUCAGAAACAGCAUCAAUAUUCCAUGGAUUGACCCUUAUUGCACCACUGAGAGAUGGAGAGCAACCAAUAAACUCAGAAACCACCAACAUGCUCUCCUUUGGUGCAGUGGGGUUCAAGCCCAAGGUAGCAUCCAGCUUCUCCGUUCCUUGCCGGCAUAUAACAUAUUCAUAAGGUAUUAGAUUCAUUCCGUCCCUUACUGCAGUAACAAGACAGCACUCCGCGAUAGCAUAGUAAGCAAUACGCUCGUAGAACUGAAGAGGCUUAUCAACCAGGAUAACUGGUUCAUAUCCAGUCCUUCCAAAUUUCUGAUUUAUUCUCUUUACAGUUGCAUAAGUUUCAGCCUGGACUUCCUGCACAUCUUUCCCUCGGCCUCUGGCAGGAUUUGCAAUUUGAACCAACACCAAUUUACCCCUCUGAUCUGGAUGCUGAGAGAGCAGGAGCUCAAAGGCCAAAAGCUUCAAGCUUAUUCCUUUGAAUAUAUCCAUGUCAUCAACUCCAAGUAACACUGUCUGACCGCGGAAUUUAUCUCGCAGCUCAGCAACCCUGGUCUCUGUCUCGGGAAGGUCCAGCACUGAUUGAAGUUGAACCAUAUGUAUUCCAACUGGCAGAAUCUUAAUGCUAACAGUGCGGCCAUAGUACUCUAAUCCUAUAUAACCUCGUUUAGAUUGAUAUGAAAUGCCAAGCAUUCUACUACAACAAGAAAGGAAAUGUCUAGCAUAAUCAAAGGUAUGAAAGCCUAUCAAGUCAGAGUUCAACAGUGCGCGUAGAAUCUCAUCUCUUACUGGUAGAGUUCGGUAUAUCUCCGACGAUGGAAAUGGGCUAUGGAGGAAGAAACCAAGCUUCACUCUGUUAAACCUCUUUCUCAAGAAUGUUGGUAACACCAUCAAAUGGUAAUCAUGAACCCAGACAAAAUCAUCAUCAGGAUUAAUGACCUCCAUUACUUUGUCUGCAAAGAUUUUAUUCACCGAGACAUAAGCUUGCCACAGCGAACGAUCAAACCGGCCACCAAGAUCUGGAGAUAGCGGAAGCAUGUAGUGAAAUAAAGGCCAUAAAUGCUGUUUACAGAAACCAUGAUAGAAUUUACUGAACAACUCAGGUGGUAUAAAAGCUGGUACACAUUUGAACGUUUCGAGCAAAGUUUGAGCCACAUCAUCUUGUUGACUCGGAUCAAUUUCUUCUUUAAGGCUGCCUACAUAAAUCACUUCUACAUCUUCUCCAAGACCA